Long non-coding RNA from Macaca mulatta (Rhesus monkey), 276 nucleotides. RefSeq lists it as uncharacterized. Lineage: Eukaryota; Metazoa; Chordata; Mammalia; Primates; Cercopithecidae. The record is from RefSeq and is a predicted model, not a curated record.
UUUUUAGAGGAAAAAGAAAAUCACAGGACCCUGUGAAGGAAGAUUUUUAAAAGCAAGCUUAAAUGGAUCCUGCAGCCAUGGAGAAAUAAAUUCUGCCUGAGAGAGCUUACAAGUGAAUCUUCCCAGGGUCACCUGGGAAUGCCUGAUGAGAGCACAGCCCAGCAGCCACCAUGAUUGCAGCCUUGUGAGACAUCAAGCAGAGGACCCAACUAAGUUGUGCCCACACUUCUGACGCACAGAUACUUUGAAAUAAUAAAAGUAUGUUGUUUUACCUUG